Molecule: unclassified non-coding RNA, 379 nt
Filed under: soil metagenome
Description: partial contains 5.8S ribosomal RNA, internal transcribed spacer 2, and large subunit ribosomal RNA
Rfam family: 5.8S ribosomal RNA (bases 1-120)
Source: RNAcentral
GAUGAAGAACGUAGCGAAAUGCGAUAAGUAAUGUGAAUUGCAGAAUUCAGUGAAUCAUCGAAUCUUUGAACGCACCUUGCACCCUUUGGCAUUCCGAAGGGUAUGCUCGUUUGAGUGUCAUUGUACUCUCACACUCCCGAUCUUUGGAUUGGGAGCGGUGGACUUGGGUUUGCUGCUUGCCGUGGCUCACCUCAAAUGGAUUAGUGCAACUCUUGGUUGGACAUAGUACGGCGUGAUAAGUGUCUUCGCCGGCACCUCGCAAGAGGGUGGCCGAUCGGGAGCUCUGUGCUUUCAAACCGUCUUCGGACAAUUUCUGACAACUUGACCUCAAAUCGAGUAGGACUACCCGCUGAACUUAAGCAUAUCAAUAAGCGGAGGA